RNAcentral lists this ribosomal RNA (233 nucleotides) under uncultured bacterium. Its description in RNAcentral is "partial 16S ribosomal RNA". It matches the Rfam family "Bacterial small subunit ribosomal RNA", at positions 100 to 334 of the family's 1533-position model. The record is from RNAcentral.
CGGGACGGGUGAGUAAUGUCUGGGAAACUGCCUGAUGGAGGGGGAUAACGACUGGAAACGGUAGCUAAUACCGCAUAACGUCGCAAGACCAAAGAGGGGGACCUUCGGGCCUCUUGCCAUCGGAUGUGCCCAGAUGGGAUUAGCUAGUAGGUGGGGUAACGGCUCACCUAGGCGACGAUCCCUAGCUGGUCUGAGAGGAUGACCAGCCACACUGGAACUGAGACACGGUCCAG